CCAGAUGGUCGGAUGGCCGCCUUCCGGAAUUCCGGGGGGAGGAAAGUCCGGGCUCCACGGAAACACGGUGCCGGAUAACGUCCGGCGGGGGCGACCCUAGGGAAAGUGCCACAGAAAGCAAACCGCCCGCGCCCAAUCGGCCGCGGGUAAGGGUGAAAGGGUGCGGUAAGAGCGCACCGCGCGUCCGGCAACGGAAGCGGCAUGGUAAACCCCACCGGGAGCAAGACCAAGUAGGGGCGGCCCGCAUCCUUCGGGAUCGCGAGACGCGUUUUCGCGUCGCCGCCCGGGUCGGUCGCGCGAGGCGUCCGGCAACGGACGUCCCAGAUGAAUGGCCAUCAUCCGCCCCUGCGGCGGAUACAGAACCCGGCUUACAGACCAUCUGGCGCA
Molecule: RNase P RNA, 387 nt
Filed under: Rhodospirillales bacterium
Lineage: Bacteria; Pseudomonadati; Pseudomonadota; Alphaproteobacteria; Rhodospirillales
Description: RNase P RNA component class A
Rfam family: Bacterial RNase P class A
About the family: Ribonuclease P (RNase P) is a ubiquitous endoribonuclease, found in archaea, bacteria and eukarya as well as chloroplasts and mitochondria. Its best characterised activity is the generation of mature 5'-ends of tRNAs by cleaving the 5'-leader elements of precursor-tRNAs. Cellular RNase Ps are ribonucleoproteins.
Source: RNAcentral